Dermatophagoides pteronyssinus (European house dust mite) is the source of this 328-nucleotide long non-coding RNA. Lineage: Eukaryota; Metazoa; Arthropoda; Arachnida; Sarcoptiformes; Pyroglyphidae. The record is from RefSeq and is a predicted model, not a curated record.
GUUAAUGUUGUUUCAAUGUGUGUGUAAUGCAAUUGCCAAUAGUAACAACAACAAUAACGACGACGAGAACAAACGAAAAAAAAAAAUCGUUUCGAUAACGUUUCGAAUCGUUUUGUUUAUCUUCUUUCCUGAAUAAUCACACGAAAGGAAUUUGAUUCGAUUUCGACAUUGACAACAACGAUAAAGAAAAACUUGUGUAAAAUUACGACAACGAAAUUACUUUUUUUUUGUUUGUAAAUGUUUUGAAUCGCGCAAACUCUGUUUUUUUUUGUGUUUCACAAACAAAAAAAAUACAUCAAUCAGCAAUAAUAAUAACAACAACGACGAA